GAGGGGUGCAUUUGAAAGAGAGCAUUCUUGAUUUCCAUAUCAGAAUAGGGUAGCAGCAAAUCCUCAUUCAUAUAGCGCAUAACUUUCAUAGGAGUAGCACGAAAUACUUCAGAAAGCGCUGGAUCAUCUAUGCCUUCAGAUGUGAAGAUGGACUUGUAAUAGGUUACCAACAUGUUCUUUAUGGUAAUCGGUUCAGUUUGUAAAGUUCAUGUCUCGUCUAGGAGACCCUUGAUACUAUUUCUGCUUCUUCUAUUUGAGGCCUUUUUGUGAAAGAAAGCCGAGUUCCUAUCCCCAUCCUUCAACUACACCACUCGAGAACAUUGUCUCCAAUAUACUUCCUGUUGAGAGGAUCUGACUAUGUCGAACAUGAAGUAAACAUUUUGUUAUAUUGUUGUAGAGAGAAAGGCCUACACAUAAUAUCUUCUCAUUUCUCACGAAGCACCCUUAAUUCUACUUUUUGUUUCUGAAAUUCAAUGACAUGCCAUUUAAGCAAAUGUUUGCUUGUUGCAGAAAUCUUUCGACUAACUUGCUGAAGCAUGUUCCAGUGAUGGGAGAGAACCAUUGUCGCUGAAUGAUAUUGGUGCAUUCAUCAUUUCCAUGCCACAUUCCCCAAACCUAAAAUGCCCCAUCUAACUUGUAUCAUUGUAUGGGUUGGCAUCAAAACCACGAAAAAUAUCUGGUUUGGGCUCCUUCUCUCUGGUCUUUUAUUUUUUAUUUUUUUUAUUACUGUUGUGCUACUGCUACUGGCUAUCGCACCGGUUCGAACCCAUUCGAUGAAACCCAAUCGUCCCGUCGGUUUGAUCGAUUUUGAGUCCUUGAUCUUACUCUGAAGAAGAAGAAGAAUCACCCUGAUAGGCACUGAGAAAGUUUUGAGUUUGCUUUGCUGCCAUUUGUGGAUGCAUGUCAAUGUCAUCUUCUUCGAAACCAAGCAUCAAUUCGAUCUGAAUUGUAUCCUUCUGCUGUAAAUUUAGGAUCUUUGAAUACCUGUUCAUGAAUUACAUUGGAUUUUAUUUUUAUUUUUCAGGCCCUUCCUUUAUACCUUGAUGAAAUCUUUCACCCUGUUGUUGCCGUUUUGCUCUCUGUAACAUUUGUUCUAAUCUUCAGAGAGCUAUAUGCUCAAGAUAUGUUUGGGCUUUCUGUUGGCUUGUUCGCAUUCUGAUGAUCAUCUGCUAUCCAAUCGCCGCCUACCCAAUUGGAAAAGUGGGAUACCAUUGCCAAUAUUUUCUGAAUGGUGGCUGUUCAGUGACAAGUUUUCAGCAAUCGAUUCAUUUGUCCUAUCAUCAUUUCCUGGUGCAAUGUUCCAGGGAAUGAAUGGCUUGAGUGUUAAAUAUCAGGUUCUUGAUCUUGUACUUGGACAUGGAGAUGAUUUGUUCAGGCUAGCACAGUCGAAAGCCCUCGUCUCUAUUCACGACCAUGAGGCUGGAAAGGGAGGUGAACUAACACAUGACAACGAUUACAAUGGAGCGCUAGAUUUAACUGAAAAGACUGCCAAGGAGGCUAUGAAACCUAUUGAAUGAAGAUUGUGCUUGGAUGUUGAUUCAAAGUUAGACUGGGUGCAAUGGGGAAAAUUCUUGCACGUGUUAGAAUGUGUUGCUAAGCUUGUAGGAAAGGGUGCUUUAGCUGAAGGAGACAAGAUCACCUUAGAAACUGCAAAGCUGUUGAGAGAGAAUUCUCUCGCGCAGGAUGCAUUUACUCCGUAAGUUCCUCAUUUAAUCUUUUCUUUGAUGCAUAUCUACUUUUCACUUUGGUUGGGAUUAUUAGUCACUAAUGAUCAUUUACCUGUUGUAAGGGUGGACAGAUAUGAGAAAUUCUGCCCUUUCUAGUCUGUUUGGAUGAUGCAGAAUAUCAUCCAUUUCUUUAAUUUAGCAAAUCAGGUGAACUAUUCUGUUCAAAUCCUUUCUUAUAUGACCUACCAUUAUGUUUGAAGAAUUCAUGUCUAUUUAGGUUGAAGCAUUUUAGGGCAAGGAAAACAGAUAAUAAUAUUGUCUUUCCCGGUCUUCUUUCUGGGAACCAAUCCCAGAAAGGUGCAACUUCAUUAGAUGUGACCCAAAGGAUUUCCUUGCCAUAAUACCGAAAAGGUGGCCGUUGUGACACAAUUUAUCAUUCUGAAGACCCAGUGCGGAUGAAAUCCAAGUCUGAACAUUAUAGCCUCCAAGAAACACCACUCAACCCUAUCAUAAACCUUGGCCAUGUCAACUUUAUUAGAUGUUUAAUUAGAUAAGUGAACGUAUCAAUGUCUACAGGCUAUAGAGAGAGCAGCUGAUAUGAAUGAUCAAAAGAUCAAUUAUAGUAUAAUUGAGCACCGUAUGGGAGAUCUCUUUUACCGUCUAAUGUCUAAAAAUUUGAGGAACCUGCUGAAGGCGAACUAGCUCUUGUGGCAAAAUUUAAGAAGCUACACGAUUACUUGACGAUUUGAGGAUGUAACUCGAUAAUUGGACUUAGACAUUUUCUAGAUGGUUCUAGUUGCUGUUAUAAAUUGCAUGGUGAUGACAAUUGGAGUUACUGUGGUUUUUGUUGUGCAUGAAAAAAGGCAGUGUUAGGUUUUUGUGACGCCAUUUUUGCUUUACUUAUGUGGCGGUUGCUCUAGUUUGGAUGUGUAGUUUCAAUGAUUGUAUUCAUGUCACUCCCUUCAAGUUUUUACCCAGAAUAAGAGACGAUAUAUUUAAGCAA
Molecule: long non-coding RNA, 2670 nt
Organism: Rosa chinensis
Lineage: Eukaryota; Viridiplantae; Streptophyta; Magnoliopsida; Rosales; Rosaceae
Exons: 10
Source: RefSeq, a predicted model, not a curated record